Molecule: small RNA, 304 nt
Filed under: Drosophila virilis
Lineage: Eukaryota; Metazoa; Arthropoda; Insecta; Diptera; Drosophilidae
Description: GJ25814
Source: RNAcentral
GGCAUAUAAUUGGUUGCAUUUCUUAUCGUUAUUAACAUUUAAUCUUAUUUCUUAUUCCCCUGCAGGUUAUCUUCAAGCCGUUAUUUAUAAUUUCGUGCUCGGCAACAUUUCCGGCAUUUUUAACCAGAAUACAUUUUUUGUUGGCGACCUUCAUACAAUACCGGAAACCAAUAAAAAAACGGCCAGAAGUUAUUGCCAGUCAACAAAGGAAAGGAAAACAAGGGGAGAAAUAUAAACACAGACGCAAUAAUUUUGGGCCCUUUCAUUCCCGGUUCGCACUUUCGGAAAUUUACUUAAUUUAAAU